This 171-nucleotide non-coding RNA is filed under the name marine eukaryotic metagenome. RNAcentral's name for it is "6S / SsrS RNA". It matches the Rfam family "6S / SsrS RNA". From Rfam's summary of the family: E. coli 6S RNA was the first non coding RNA to be sequenced, but its function was unknown until recently. The record is from RNAcentral.
GUCUGCUUUGUUUGCCAGGAUUAUAAGAAAUUUUGACCAACUUUUAUGAAAGGGAGCCUGGUCUCUGUUUGCAGCGUAGAAGCCUCUUUAAGAGGACCUAUAAACCAGACAGGAGGGCACCCACUUGGCGGUAGAGGAUCAAAAUUACGUGAUACCAGCGGCAUAGUGGAC